This is a long non-coding RNA of Acinonyx jubatus (cheetah), 415 nucleotides long. RefSeq lists it as uncharacterized. The transcript is spliced from 3 exons. The record is from RefSeq and is a predicted model, not a curated record. NCBI's taxonomy places the organism in Eukaryota, Metazoa, Chordata, Mammalia, Carnivora, Felidae.
AGGUAUACUUGUCAGGAUAUACAGAAAUUAGCCCCUCUCUUGGGAUUCUUCUAAUGUGCUUAUGUUUUCCCAGGCAUGACACCCCGUGAUGGAAACCAAAACUACCCUUCAAGAGAUAAUGACCUUCCAGAUGCAGAGCUCCAGCUGGCCCAGACCAACCACCCAGACCAGUUUGAGCUCAACCCUCAACUCACAUCCUUGCAGAUGGACCACGGAGUGACUGACAGUUAUCUUUACCUCAUUGUAAUGCUAAAAUCUCUGCUCAAGGAGGAGCGGAAGCCUCAUUUACAUAACAGACAAUGUAUGUAUAAGCUUGUUUCCUUAAGGUGCAUGAGUGACUUUAUGCCAGCCUCUCCCUACAUACAAUGACAAGGCUCCCCUUUCUAAAUAUUCAUCCUUACCCUAAAUAAAAGGA